Molecule: long non-coding RNA, 881 nt
Organism: Mugil cephalus (flathead mullet)
Lineage: Eukaryota; Metazoa; Chordata; Actinopteri; Mugiliformes; Mugilidae
Exons: 3
Source: RefSeq, a predicted model, not a curated record
UGACAAACUACAUUUGGUUCUUGAACGGUCGACCUCUGAACCUGACACACAACCAAAGCAAACACCUGCUUCUAGAUCCAGUCAGCAGUCAGGAUGCAGGAAGCUACUCAUGCUCAGUCAAAACUCACGACUUCGAGUCAGCUCCACAGACUCUCAUCGUCAUCAGUGCAUUAGAACAAUGGAUAUCAGCAAUAGCUGUAGGUGUCAAGGCUGUUUUCCUGGUUGUUUUGGUCGUCACUGCCUUGUUGAUGACGAGAAAAAAGAGGACUUCCAGACAAUCUCCAACAUCUCAAACAUCAGACAACACUGACCAGGAUGCUGAACUACACUAUGGCACAGUCUACUUCUGCAGAAACCACACAGAUCCUCAUUAUUCCACUGUGCAACCAGAUCAGACCAGAGAACAGGAGCACACUCAGUAUGCUGUUGUCAAAUUUAGACAUGAAAGAAGCGCAGAGUGACUGGCUGUUGUCGUAACACAGGAUGCAGACUCUCCUUACUCUCUCUUUAAAUGGUAUACCGAGUGAAACCACCUUUUCUAUGCUGUACCCUUCAUAAAACAUUGUUAGACCCUGCACCUGUUCCAUGUAUCAACUUUCAUCUCGUCAGCUUCACUUUGUUUGCCAAGAUCAUGAGCUGCAAUGCUAGAUGACAUGGCAUGUUGUUUAGUCAUAUUGGUUAGAAAUCCAGAUGAUUUAGAACAAGAGGAAGCUUUGCUUUUCAGAUGCCGUGUGAGUCACAACCCAUAAAGUCUGUGUCAAGUGUUGAGUCAUGUCUGAAGUGGUGAAGACGCAGCAAUUGAAAAAACAGAAGCUCAAUAAGAGAUGGAAGCACAUUCUUGUAAUGUUACGAUGUUCAAAAAAAUAUGAAAUAAACAGCUA